Molecule: ribosomal RNA, 460 nt
Filed under: uncultured bacterium
Lineage: Bacteria
Description: partial 16S ribosomal RNA
Rfam family: Bacterial small subunit ribosomal RNA
Source: RNAcentral
CCUACGGGUGGCUGCAGUGAGGAAUAUUGGUCAAUGGGCUUACGCCUGAACCAGCCAAGUCGCGUGAGGGAAGACUGCCCUAUGGGUUGUAAACCUCUUUUGUCAGGGAGCAACGCCGGCUACGUGUAGCCGGACUGAGAGUACCUGAAGAAAAAGCAUCGGCUAACUACGUGCCAGCAGCCGCGGUAAUACGUAGGGAGCAAGCGUUGUCCGGAAUUACUGGGUGUAAAGGGAGCGUAGGCGGGAGGAUAAGUUGAAUGUGAAAUCUAUGGGCUCAACCCAUAGCUGCGUUCAAAACUGGUCUUCUUGAGUGAAGUAGAGGCAGGCGGAAUUCCUAGUGUAGCGGUGAAAUGCGUAGAUAUUAGGAGGAACACCAGUGGCGAAGGCGGCCUGCUGGGCUUUUACUGACGCUGAGGCUCGAAAGCGUGGGUAGCAAACAGGAUUAGAUACCCCAGUAGUC